GACGAACGCUGGCGGCGUGCCUAAUACAUGCAAGUAGAACGCACGGUUUAUACCGUAGCUUGCUCCACCAUAGACUGUGAGUUGCGAACGGGUGAGUAACGCGUAGGUAACCUGCCUGGUAGCGGGGGAUAACUAUUGGAAACGAUAGCUAAUACCGCAUAAUAUUAAUUAUUGCAUGAUAAUUAAUUGAAAGGUGCAAUUGCACCACUACCAGAUGGACCUGCGUUGUAUUAGCUAGUAGGUGAGGUAACGGCUCACCUAGGCGACGAUACAUAGCCGACCUGAGAGGGUGAUCGGCCACACUGGGACUGAGACACGGCCCAGACUCCUACGGGAGGCAGCAGUAGGGAAUCUUCGGCAAUGGACGAAAGUCUGACCGAGCAACGCCGCGUGAGUGAAGAAGGUUUUCGGAUCGUAAAGCUCUGUUGUAAGAGAAGAACGGGUGUGAGAGUGGAAAGUUCACACUGUGACGGUAUCUUACCAGAAAGGGACGGCUAACUACGUG
RNAcentral lists this ribosomal RNA (505 nucleotides) under uncultured bacterium. RNAcentral's name for it is "partial 16S ribosomal RNA". It matches the Rfam family "Bacterial small subunit ribosomal RNA", at positions 28 to 507 of the family's 1533-position model. The record is from RNAcentral.